Molecule: ribosomal RNA, 494 nt
Filed under: uncultured bacterium
Lineage: Bacteria
Description: partial 16S ribosomal RNA
Rfam family: Bacterial small subunit ribosomal RNA
Source: RNAcentral
GACGAACGCUGGCGGCGUGCUUAACACAUGCAAGUCGAACGGUGAAGCGCCUUCCUUUUUGGUGGGUGUGGAUGAGUGGCGAACGGGUGAGUAACACGUGAGUAACCUGCCCCCUUCUUCUGGAUAACCGCAUGAAAGUGUGGCUAAUACGGGAUAUUCUGGGUCUGUCGCAUGAUGGGUCUGGGAAAGAUAUUGUUUCGGUGGGGGAUGGGCUCGCGGCCUAUCAGCUUGUUGGUGGGGUGAUGGCCUACCAAGGCGGUGACGGGUAGCCGGCCUGAGAGGGUGGACGGUCACACUGGGACUGAGACACGGCCCAGACUCCUACGGGAGGCAGCAGUGGGGAAUAUUGCACAAUGGGCGCAAGCCUGAUGCAGCGACGCCGCGUGAGGGAUGGAGGCCCUCGGGUUGUGAACCUCUUUCGCCAGUGAAGCAGGCCUGCCUCGUUUGUGGGUGGGUUGACGGUAGCUGGAUAAGAAGCGCCGGCUAACUACGCG